RNAcentral lists this signal recognition particle RNA (96 nucleotides) under Gammaproteobacteria bacterium. RNAcentral's name for it is "signal recognition particle sRNA small type". It matches the Rfam family "Bacterial small signal recognition particle RNA". Rfam says of the family: The signal recognition particle (SRP) is a universally conserved ribonucleoprotein involved in the co-translational targeting of proteins to membranes. Archaeal SRP consists of a 7S RNA and homologues of the eukaryotic SRP19 and SRP54 proteins. The record is from RNAcentral. Lineage: Bacteria; Pseudomonadati; Pseudomonadota; Gammaproteobacteria.
AUUUGGUUCCCUCGCAAUGCAUCCUGCGAACCCCGCCAGGCCCGGAAGGGAGCAACGGUAGUGGGCUCUGUGUGUGCCGAGACCGGGCUGAAUGAG